ACUGCUCAAAAUUCUGCAUACCUCUUUGUGGUGAGCAGUAGGCAACACAGCAAUAUGCCGUGGACAAGAAUACAGAG
Molecule: ribozyme, 77 nt
Filed under: unclassified sequences
Description: HDV ribozyme from F. prausnitzii
Rfam family: HDV ribozyme from F. prausnitzii
Source: RNAcentral